Molecule: small nuclear RNA, 107 nt
Filed under: Octodon degus (degu)
Lineage: Eukaryota; Metazoa; Chordata; Mammalia; Rodentia; Octodontidae
Source: RNAcentral
GUGCUUGCUUUGGCAGCACAUUUACUAAAAUUGGAAAGAUACAGAGAAGAUUAGCAUGGCCCCUGAGCAAGGAUGACAUGCAAAUUCGUGAAGUGUUUCAUAUUUUU